Molecule: non-coding RNA, 45 nt
Filed under: Schistosoma mansoni
Lineage: Eukaryota; Metazoa; Platyhelminthes; Trematoda; Strigeidida; Schistosomatidae
Source: RNAcentral
ACCUAGCUGACGAGCCUCAAAUAGGACGAAACGCGCAUCCAUGAU